UACUUGACACUCGAGGUUCUGCUGUGGAAGUCUUUCCAGUGCUUGUGGCCUCGCGGUGGUAGUGGAGUAGACUCCUAGUCCCAAACCUCGUGCUGAUCGUUACUCUCGGUACUGCUGCGGAAGUUCUUCCCCUGUUUGAAGCAACGGCGUUCAGAUGGGUUUCUGUCUUGUACAAAAGUGGGGCCGGUUGUGAGUAACAGUGGCCGUAUACCAUGUCUGCGGUAUCCCCUCGAGUAGCGCUCUCCACGGAUACCACGAGUGGUGCAGGGCUCUGUCCCAGCGGUGCGGUGUCCUGCACCGGUGACACCACGAGGGGUGCGGGUACCGGUACGCGUGUACCCCGAGCUAGGAGCCUACCACCAACCGGGCUCGCGGGGCUAUUACUUGCCCCGGCGGCAACACGGACCUAGCGGGGGGCCUAGAGGCGGAGGUGGAGGAGGAGGUGGUGCCCGGCCGGGCCGUGCCGUGCCGUGCUGGACACGAUUAGCACGGACCGGGCCGUGCCGGGCGGCACCGUGCAAAUUAUCGGCCCGGCACGGCACGGCCGGGUGCCCGCGUCGAGCAACCGGGUUCGUGCCGGACUAAUGGCGGUGUUGACGGGUGAGGUCUAAGGCCGCUAAGGCCGCCGAUAGCGGCCGCGCCACGUGUGGCGGCUCGAGCGGAGCGAGCCGAGGUAGGAGGGGAGGCCGUUCUAAGAGGGAAGGGCCGGAGAUGCCGAGCGGUUAUUGGGUGUGGGCACGAUCCCAAAGCCGGAGAUCGUAGCAGGAGGAGCAGCCGCGUAGAGGCCGCUGAGAAGAGGAAACGGAUGUCGCGGGGGUGCGCGCGGGAGCGAAGGACUACCGGGUGGAGGUCGUCCCGCCGCGCCUCCUGGAGGAGGGCGUCCUAGGUGCCUGCGCCGCGUGGAACGCCUGCGACCAGGGCCUGCUCCCGCCCGUGCCACCGGAACAGGAUGAGCUGCUGCCACCCCCGCUUGCGGCCACGAGGAGGAGGAGCUGGAGGUUCCCCCUCGUGGCACCGCAUGUACUACACGAGGAGCUACGCCGACAAGGGUUGCUUGAGAGAAGCGGCCUCCUCCGCCUCGUCGUUCAGGUCGUGGGAGAACGGGGGGAUAGGACAUCGCGUACCUGCUGGAGUGGCAGCCGACGUAAGAUGGGAGGAUCGUGCAAAUCUCGUUAUCGAGGUCUCAACUUCUACUAGAAAUCGGACUAAAAAUUAGGAGUGUAACGGAGGAUGUCGUACCUUUUAGGGUAGAUGCGUCAGUAGGUCAAACGUGUGUGCCGGUACUCUACAACGUGUAAAGACUUGAACGACUUAUUUAGUUUUCUACAAUGAGGAGAUGGACGACUUAGAUUUAGCUUUCUAAGUUCUCUUAAUACCACGAUGAAAACCGUUGCACGGCGGCACGAGUUGGAGCGGGCCGGUAGCAUACCGGAGAACACAACAGAAGUCAGAAGUAACUAGAGCUAGGCGGCGGCGGGUGGUAGCUGCUGGGAGUGGUAUCUGCUCUAGCUCGAGGAGGGAAGGAGGGCAAGAGGGGAUCGGAAUAGGUGAAGCUCGGUUGGUUGGUGAGGCAGGAACCCUAAAACAGCGCGCCACGGAGCAGAGCGGCCGGGCCGCUGGUGUUCGUCCGUCAGGUGCCGGUCCUACCGUCGCACGGGGCGGUGCUGGUGCCGAGCGCACCCUCGUCGCGUACUACCUCCGGAGACCUCCUCUUCGCCCUCCUCGGACUGGCAGGAGCGCGCGGGUCGGGUACCGUCCUCGUGGUGCCGCGCGCGGAGCCUCGAUGUUGUAGAGGAAGCCGCUGAAGCACAUUAGGUCAAGCCGUUGCGCACGACCCUUGAAAUGACGGAGCUCGUGUCGUAGGACGUCCCUCGUAUGCUAGUUGUCCUCCUCCUAAAGGUGCCGCGCACGUUCGCCGAAGUCGAAGUACGGAACCUAGGUUACGACAGGGGAGGUUCAGUUCAGUGCAGCUCCGCCGGCUAGUUCCGGACGCACGUUAACUACCCCGAGGUACUUUUACCUCCACCACUAGUCCACUUGUUGUAUUCGGACCUUCUGGAGACCGGGUCGAGUUGAGGUAGAGGUACGUGGAGCCGCUCUAGCAGCCAUUACCUGCGGCGGACGGAGCAUAGUAAGAAAGAUCUAUUGUAAGAUCACACCGUUGUAAAUCAUUAAAUGUCGAGGGACAAGUACCACGAUACGUUUGAGACU
This 2211-nucleotide ribosomal RNA is filed under the name Triticum aestivum (bread wheat). RNAcentral describes it as "partial small subunit ribosomal RNA". Lineage: Eukaryota; Viridiplantae; Streptophyta; Magnoliopsida; Poales; Poaceae. The record is from RNAcentral.